UCCGUAGGCGGGCUAAUAAGUCAGAGGUGAAAUCCAGCAGCUUAACUGUUGAACUGCCUUUGAUACUGUUAGUCUUGAGUUAUAUGGAAGUAGAUAGAAUGUGUAGUGUAGCGGUGAAAUGCAUAGAUAUUACACAGAAUACCGAUUGCGAAGGCAGUCUACUACGUAUAUACUGACGCUAAUGGACGAAAGCGUGGGGAGCGAACAGGAUUAGAUACCCUGGUAGUC
Molecule: ribosomal RNA, 228 nt
Filed under: uncultured bacterium
Lineage: Bacteria
Description: partial 16S ribosomal RNA
Rfam family: Bacterial small subunit ribosomal RNA
Source: RNAcentral